UCAUGCCAGUUUUGAAGAAUUUUCUUCUAAUCUUAGUUGAUUGGAAUUAGAUUAUUCAACCGUUACAAGGUUUAAAUUAUCCUAUAUGGUUAUCAGUGUAUAUAUAUUUCAUGAAUUCCACGUAGGACUGUUUAAAAAAUUCAGCUCGGAUGAACAAUCUUAAUUCUACGUACGUAUGGUAUAUAUGAAGGAUAAAAUAUUAUAUAUAUUGUAUCAUAUGCGCGCAAUAUAUGACUAUUUUUGUUAAACAUAAAUCAAGAAUAUUCAUCCCAAGAAUUUUGUUUUUCCUUCUUUUUUUGGACUAAAGAAAUGCUAAUAUAUUUAUAUUUGGACGAAAAACGGAUAUAUGGUAAGCCAAUAAGAGAAUUUCUUACCAUGAUUCUCAGAAGCUUUAUUUCCUUAAUUUCUGAUCUCCAAUUUGAAAGAAAAUACUAGCCGUUGGAAAAUCUCUCCAGAGUCUCUACUUUCUGUUCUUGUUUUGUACUUUGAAUUAUAAUAAUUAAUAGUUGUCUGUCUCUGGUA
Long non-coding RNA from Juglans microcarpa x Juglans regia, 522 nucleotides. RefSeq lists it as uncharacterized. The transcript is spliced from 2 exons. The record is from RefSeq and is a predicted model, not a curated record. Lineage: Eukaryota; Viridiplantae; Streptophyta; Magnoliopsida; Fagales; Juglandaceae.